This 107-nucleotide small nucleolar RNA is filed under the name Cephalotus follicularis. RNAcentral describes it as "Plant small nucleolar RNA R71". It matches the Rfam family "Plant small nucleolar RNA R71". Rfam says of the family: R71 is a member of the C/D box family of snoRNAs containing the C (UGAUGA) and D (CUGA) box motifs. Lineage: Eukaryota; Viridiplantae; Streptophyta; Magnoliopsida; Oxalidales; Cephalotaceae. The record is from Rfam by way of RNAcentral.
AGACCAUGAUGAGGGCACUCUAGGAGAAGGUCCUUGAAACGUUCCAUGCAUCAAGAAAAUGAUUCAUUGGGUCGCUGGCGAAAUUGGAGAAUGUCGUUCCUAAGCUU